GGACUACCGGGGUAUCUAAUCCCGUUUGCUCCCCACGCUUUCGUGCCUGAGUGUCAGGAACGAACCAGUACCCUGCUUACGCCAUCGGUGUUCCUCCCAAUAUCUACGGAUUUCACUCCUACACUGGGAAUUCCAGGUACCUCUCUCGUCCUCUAGCUUAGCAGUUCAAACAAUGUAUAUAUGGUUGAGCCAUACGCUUUCACUAUCUGCUUACUAUGCCACCUACGCAACUCUUUACGCCCAGUAAUUCCGGAUAACGCUUGGAUCCUCCGUAUUACCGCGGCUGCUGGCAC
This 293-nucleotide ribosomal RNA is filed under the name uncultured bacterium. RNAcentral describes it as "partial 16S ribosomal RNA". The record is from RNAcentral.